This is a long non-coding RNA of Pan paniscus (pygmy chimpanzee), 2204 nucleotides long. The record is from Ensembl. Lineage: Eukaryota; Metazoa; Chordata; Mammalia; Primates; Hominidae.
CUGGCCGCUGCCUUCUCGGACCCAGGGUCUUCGGCCUGGGCUCCACACCUCAGGCCCCUCAAGUAAUUGGCCUCUUGGUGGCCGGGCACUGCCUUUCCGGCUGCUCUCUGCACCCGUCUGCCCCUCCGGCCUCCCCCUGGCGGCUACAGGCGUCCGGGGCCCUCGCUCCCCAGCUCCAGGCGUCCCGGGAGCCAGGCGCGCAGCGGGGCGAGUUCUUGUGUCCGUGUGAGCGCGGACGUGUGUAUGCGUGCGCGUGCACGAGCGUGAGUGUGCGUGAGCGUGAGUUUGAGUGUGCGUGAGGGUGUGAAUGUGUACAUGUACACGAAUGUGAGUGUGAGUGUGCAUGAGCGUGAGCGUGCGUGUGCGUGCGAGUGUGCACGAGCGUGACUGUGAGUGUGCGUGCGUGGAAGCGCGGCGGGGAGCCUGGCUGAAGGCCUGCUGCCUGCAUGGCUGUCAGAGAAAAACAGAAGUGGGAGCCUGCUGCGGGCUCCGAGAGGACUUGAUGGGAGCCCUGGCGCGCGCUGGGCACCGCGCGGUGGGCCCAGCCCAGUUAUGAACAUGUUGAGACCUAGGAGGCCAAGAGGACCCACCUAAAACCCUCCCCCGUUAAGGGCUGAUGUGGUACCCCUGCAAACCCACUCCCUCGGGGCAGGAGAUGCCUUCUCUGCAGAGUCCUGUUUCUGAAAUCUGUGCAGUGUGUCCAGGAGAACAAUAUUGCCAAGAAUAUCUGGAUGGAUGGAGGUGGCCGGCAAAUCAUCAGAAGCAACUCAGACAGUCCAGAGGAGGAUGGCGCAGAGCCAGAGGAGGCACAGGGAGGCGGCAGGCAGAUCUGAGAGGCAUCACCAAGGCAGCACUAAGGAAGGAGGGUAGGGACAGUGACUGCCUCGGGCUGCUGCAGCUCAGGAGGCCGAAUGAUGCCCUUCACCAAGCAACACACGAUUAUGCUUCGGGUAGCAGCCCAGCGCUCUUCACUGGACUGAAGGCACCUCUUCUCUUUAGAGAGAGAACAUUUUCAAAGGUUAAGCCUAAAAAUCAGGACAGAUUUUACUUUGUUAUUGUUGUUUCUUGAGGCUUAAUUUUUUAAAAGCCUGUGUGCUGGCUGCUGAUGGCCUUGAUGAGAAAGUGGCUGUCAAUUAAACAGACAAGGGGGAUCCGAGGAAUCCAGGUCAGCACGAUUUCCUGAUCUGUGGCAGUGACCGUGACCUGACUGGACUUGAGCUGGAACUUCAAAUAACACCGUUAGCUCCUAAUCAUAUCAGAGGUGAUCUAACAUGACUUCCCACACCAUCCCCUUUCAAAGAUGCAAGUCACAUGGGCACGUCUGUAAAAUGCUGAAGGCUGCACUGUGUGAGCUGCACAAAUUCAAAGUUUUCUGACUUUGCCAGCCCAGUAACACUGCCAGGUGCCAGCUUGUGGCAUUUCUGUCAGAAACCCAGCUGGCAUGAAAGUGGGUUUUUAAUCCAGCCUGGAGUAGCCCCUGCAUUCAGAAAUUCUUUGCCUGACUACAGAAGUCUAAAUCAGGACUCACUUUCCCCCGAGCUAGAGGAGGAGGAAUGUGAAGCCUUGGAAAGAGUCGGCACCAUUCUGGGAGUCAGAUUAGUACACCCCAAGAAAGGGAGAGUGGCUGGGCCAGCUGCGACACAGUCCCCAACUGCUACCCGUUCCUCCACCGCCCACCAAGCCCAGAGCAGCCUCCCUCAGCCAGAAGACAGCUCGGAGGAUGGAAGACUGUUCAACUUGUGGCUUAAGCACAUUAUUAAAACCAAAGAGGAAAAUUCUUUGAAGAGACGGGGUGGAGCUGAAUUUAAGAGAAAUAAUAAAAACCAUGACCAGGUUUUUCCGUGUCUGUUUUUUCUCCCUCAUUUCUCCAGCAGCCUGGGGAGCACCGAUAGAAUAAUUCCCCGGUCAUUUCAUCAUGGAACUUCCCUUUCAUCAACCUUCCACUGAUCUACGUUGCCUGUGGAAUAAAGUCCAAAUGCCUUUGCUUGAUUCUCCCUCUUCUUCCUCACCAAGCAAACGCCUUUUUAAACUAAUAAUGGUGGCCACCUGUGUAGAAAGCAGAAGGAAUGAGGCAGGUGUGGGACAGGAAACGAGGUUGCUAAGGUAUCAGUCAGCCACUGCUGUGACAAGGCUGCAUAACAAAUGGCCCCAACGUGGAAAUGGCUUCCUGCAGCAAACGUGUGUUUUUCUUGCUUUGGGGUCUC